Molecule: ribosomal RNA, 375 nt
Filed under: uncultured bacterium
Lineage: Bacteria
Description: bacterial SSU rRNA
Rfam family: Bacterial small subunit ribosomal RNA
Source: RNAcentral
GACGAACCGUCCUAACGUUGUUCGGAAUCACUGGGCUUAAAGGGCGCGUAGGCGGCUCAUCAAGUCCGGGGUGAAAGCCUCCAGCUUAACUGGAGAAGUGCCUCGGAUACUGGUGGGCUUGAGGGAGGUAGGGGCAACUGGAACUUCCGGUGGAGCGGUGAAAUGCGUUGAUAUCGGAAGGAACGCCGGUGGCGAAAGCGAGUUGCUGGAUCUCUUCUGACGCUGAGGCGCGAAAGCUAGGGGAGCAAACGGGAUUAGAUACCCCGGUAGUCCUAGCCCUAAACGAUGGGUACUAGAUUGUGGGCUUAGCAUGGGUUCACAGUCGAAGCAAAAGUGUUAAGUACCCCGCCUGGGGAGUAUGGUCGCAAGGCUGAA